Molecule: ribosomal RNA, 253 nt
Filed under: uncultured bacterium
Lineage: Bacteria
Description: partial 16S ribosomal RNA
Rfam family: Bacterial small subunit ribosomal RNA
Source: RNAcentral
UACGGAGGAUGCAAGCGUUAUCCGGAAUGAUUGGGCGUAAAGCGUCCGCAGGUGGUUUUACAAGUCUGCUGUCAAAGCGCGAGGCUCAACCUUGUAUAGGCAGUGGAAACUGUAAGACUAGAGUUCGGUAGGGGUAGAGGGAAUUCCCGGUGUAGCAGUGAAAUGCGUAGAGAUCAAGAGGAACACUCGUGGCGAAAGCGCUCUGCUAGGACUGUACUGACGCUGAGGGACGAAAGCUAGGGGAGCGAAUGGG